Molecule: ribosomal RNA, 2972 nt
Filed under: Candidatus Poseidoniia archaeon
Lineage: Archaea; Methanobacteriati; Thermoplasmatota; Candidatus Poseidoniia
Description: 23S ribosomal RNA
Rfam family: Archaeal large subunit ribosomal RNA
Source: RNAcentral
CUACAGCAGUUACUACGCCACCUGGUGGAUGACUAGGCUCGGUUGCCGAAGAAGGUCGUGCCAAGCAGCGAUAUGCUUCGGGGAGGCGCAUGGAGCCUUUGAUCCGAAGAUUGCCGAAUGGGACUUCUCGAACCCUAGUGGUUCAAUCCGAAAGGAUGGGGAACGCCCUGAAUUGAAACAUCUUAGUAAGGGCAGGAAAAGAAAUCAAAUGAGAUGAGGUUAGUAAAGGCGAUCGAACACCUCAUAGGGCAAUCCGAAUCUUCUGAUGAGAAUCAGUAGAAAUGUGGAGUGGUCUGUUUACAUCUUAACACUGUUAUCCGAAUUUCGUGUGGAACACCGGUGCCAUAGAGGGUGAUAGCCCCGUAGGAGACACCGUGAAAGAUGAUUUUCAGGACCCAAGAGUAGCGUGCAUUGGAUAUUGCGCGUGAAUACGGGAGGUACUAACUUCCAACCCUAAAUACAAACCGAGACCGAUAGCGCAAUAGUAGCGUGAGCGAAAGUUGUAAAGCAUCCCUGGCGGGAGAUUAAUAAGACCCUGAAAUCAGGUGGUUACAGACUGGUAUGGCGUGCAAGGGAUUAAGCGGUUACACCUAACCGUACCGACGUCAUGCCGUUCGAUUCGAAAAUUGAUCCGUGGAGUUCCUAUCAUUGGCGAGGUUAAGUACGCAGGUACGAAGCCGUAGGGAAACCGAUAGCCCGCAGCGCAAGCGAGGGGCAAGGUGCGCUCGCCUGAAGUCAAUGGUUGGAUACCCGAAGCCGGUCGAUCUAUGCCUGGGCAGGGUGAAGCCUUUCGGAAGAAGGGUGGAGGCCCGCACCAGUACUGAUGUGCAAAUCGUUUGGAUGACCUGGGUAUAGGGGCGAAAGACCAAUCUAGACCGGUAAUAGCUGGUUCCUCUCGAAACUGCUCGCAGGCAGACCUCAGCUGAGACGGGGCAUGCGGUAGAGCACUGAUUGCGUGUUUAGGAAGCGAAAGUUUUCGGCAUGCUGUCAAACUCCGAAUGUGUGUCCGUUGUAGAAGCUGGGCAGUGAGGGCAUCGGGGUAAGCUUGAUGUCCAUAAGGAAAACAAACCAGACCAAAGUUAAGGUCCCUAAGUAACAGCUAAGUGUUAAAGAACAAAUAGUGUUUGAAGGCAUAGACAGCUGGAAGGUUGGCUUAGAGGCAGCCAUCCUUUAAAGAGUUCGUAACAGAUCACCAGUCAAGUCUCUGAGCCUAGAAAAUGGACGGGACUAAGUUGUUCACCGAUACUUUGGGCCACCGAAAGGUGAUGCGGUAGAGAGGCGUCGUGCGCGGGUGGAAGUGGGGCCGUGAGGUCCUGUGGACCGCGUUCGAAUGAUAAUCAUGGAAAUAGUAGUAGCGUAGAUGGGUGAGAAUCCCAUCCGCCGGAGGGGCUAGGGUUCCUCGACGAUGUUCAUCAGUCGAGGGUUAGUCGGUCCUAAGGUUCCCCCUAACAGGAGGAAUCGAAAGGGAAGCAGGUUAAAAUUCCUGCACCAAUUCACAUUUUGUCCAUUUCCUGACACAUCGGGUCCAGUGGAACACUCUUGUCUGAGUGUUGCCUUCAGCAAUAAAUUUGUGGAGUACCGUAAUGGUGAGAAACAAACUAAGCUGUUGGGAGGCGAAGUAUUUCGCUUCUGCUCUAGCCUGGUGUCCGUGAAAAGGGAUCUGGAGUCGUGUGAGUUGUCCGUACCGAGAUCUGACACAGGUGCCCCUAGGUGAGUAGCCUAAGGCGUCGCGGCAGAAUCCGGGCGAGGGAAUUCGGCAAAUUAGCCCCGUACCUUUGGUAUAAGGGGUGCCAGCUCUGUAGAGAGCUGGUCGCAGUGACUAGGGAGCUCCGACUGUUUACUAAAAACACAGGUGGCUGCUAGUCCGUAAGGAUGAGUAUAGCCGCUGAAUCCUGCCCAGUGGCGGUAUCUGAAACCCGGUUACAACCGGACGAAGGACCGCUAAACGGCGGGGGUAACUAUGACCCUCUUAAGGUAGCGUAAUACCUUGUCGCUUAAUUGGCGACUUGCACGAACGGCCUAACGAGAGCUCUACUGUCCCCGCCCGGAGCCCGAUGAAAUUGACUUACUGGCGCACAGUCCAGUACGUCCCAGCCGCAAGCGAAGACCCCGUGGAGCUUUACUGCAACCUGCCGUUGUGGCACGAGUUGUUAUGUGUAGAGUAGCCGGGAGACAUUACACAGGUGCGAGCGCUAGCUCGUCGCCGAGUCACUGAUGAAACACCGUCCUUUUCGAUUCGUCCCACUCACCUCUUCGGAGGAACCCCGGUAGGCGGGCAGUUUGGGUGGGGCGCCACUCCCUCGAAAAUUUAACAAGGGAGCCCAAAGGUCAGCUUAGGUAGGUCAGGAAUCUACCGUUAAGUGCAAGGGCAAAAGCUGGCUUGACGUGGUUUGGCAACACAACAAACCACGAUGCGAAAGCAGGGCCUAGCGAACCAACCAGCGCCGUUAGUAGGUGCGGUUGAUAACAGAAAAGUUACCCCGGGGAUAACUGAGUUGUCUGGAGCAAGAGCCCACAUCGACCUCCAGGCUUGCUACUUCGAUGUCGUCUCUUCCUAUCCUGGGUGUGCAGAAGCACCCAAGGGUGGGGUUGUUCGCCCAUUAAAAGGGAUCGUGAGAUGGGUUUAGACCGUCGUGAGACAGGUUUGUUGCUAUGUGCUGGGACUGUCCAAUACCUGAGGGGAAGGAUCCUCUAGUACGAGAGGAACGAGGGUUCGCAGCCACUAGUUUACCAGUUGUCUGACAAGGCACCGCUGGGCAGCCACGCUGUAAGGGAUAAGAGCUGAAAGCAUCUAAGCUCGAAACCCGCCUCAAAACGAGGUAUUAUGACACUUAUAGAAGAUAAGUUAGAUAGGACCGGGGUGUAAGCACCGAGAGUAUCAGUGUUACUGGAAACCACUACUUCGGUAGAGGUGAAAGGUGACACUUCGAGGUGUUCAGCCCGUCGGUUACUAAUAGUCACAACUGCUACUU